This 1890-nucleotide long non-coding RNA is filed under the name Mus musculus (house mouse). Its description in RNAcentral is "long non-coding RNA chr7:28895408-28897298". The record is from RNAcentral. Lineage: Eukaryota; Metazoa; Chordata; Mammalia; Rodentia; Muridae.
UGCUGGGGCCGUGGUUCGCGUACCUGCCGGUCAUUCUCCACGUCAUAGCCCAGGCUGAUGAGGCAGGCCUUGAAUUCCUCAGGCCCCAGUGCCCCGCCAUGGUCCUACCGGGGGCCAUCGAAGGCAGGCGUACAGGGUGAUGCAGGGGCCGGGCCACAUGCAGUGGACAGGGGAGGAAGACACAGGGGGAAGGGAAACACACAGUUAGAGGCGAUGCAGACAAGGUGGUGGCCAGGGACUGGUGGGGCAGAGAGGUCUUCAUGGCCUCAGUAGGGGUCCAGUGGGCAGCAUGGAGGACCAAGUCCAGGGCUCAAAGAUAGAGGGGACCUUUCCCUGUCUUCAGUGUUUACAGGACAGGGUAAGAGGCUGCACACUGGUACUCACAGAAGUUGAGUGGCUGUGGUACUGGGUGAAAGGAGAUCUGGAGACAAUCAAACUCAACACUCAGAAUUCCUCUCAAGAGGUUACCAGUCUAGAUCCAAAUUUUAAAAACUCUGAGAGUCCUGGAACCUGUGCCCACCUGGCCUUGUGUGUACUCUGGGGUCCUGCCCAUCAUGAGGACAGUGGAUGGAAUGGAUGGAUGGAUGGGUGCAGAUGGAGAGGGUACGAAGGGACAUACAAUGAGGGAGACAAAAGGCAAUGCUAUGCCAGUGGGGUGGGGUAGGGUAGGGUGAGGUUACCUUGUCAAAAUGGUUGAAGGAUGCCCGGAACUCCUGCAUCUGCUCCUGGCUGAUACCCUUGGCAUCUCGGGUGAGGAUCUGGUUUUCCACCUCAUUGAUGGUGCGGGCAAUGGUCGUGAGCAGCUGCUCCCAGCCCACACGGAUAUGCUGAGGGAGGAAGAGGGCGUGACUGGAUGGACGGGUGGCUGUCAACAAAUAAGGUCUGGGGGAGAAGGGGCUCCGUAUCUCACCAACUGACAAGGGACACAGGACUUUUGCCAAUUAUGCGCCUCACUUACUCAGAUGAGCAAGGGCCAAGGAGCUUGGGUCAUAUGACAACUCUUUACAAUUAUGCUUGUCGCUGCCCGAUACCUGACUCUCUGAAACCCCACGAGGUUUGUGGCAGCACGGGUCAGCACUGUGGAAUGCAGAUGGGACCCUCUGUUCUAGCACAACACACCUCACUGCCCUGGUGGGCUGCCCCAACAGAUGUCCUGGGCUUGCUGCUCGGGUAAGGCCAUAGGAAGGUGUGAAUGUGACCCUUUCUGGGUCAGGGAACUCUAGAAUGGAACUUAUGGAGCCACGGCUUUUCAAAUGCCCAUGUACACUAGUCUGUAAAGACAGGGUCUCCCUCUGUAUGUAGUCUAGGCUGGCCUAGUCAAACUCCUCCCAUUCCUCCUGCUCUGACCCAGACUGAAGGCUAGGAUUUGGGCCAUUAGAUACUGUGUCUACAAUUUGGUAACUUCUGCAUGGUUUUAGAAAGGUGAGGAGCACUUGGCAGCCCACUCCCCUGGGCAGUGGUGCUCACCUCCAUUGUGUAGUUGGUGUGCUUGUUGUCGAAGAUGAGGGCCUCCUGGAUGAGCUGGUGCUGCUGCUCCAGCAGGUCCAGGCUGGGCUUGUAGUCCACGAUGCUGCGCUCGUACUGCUUCAGGUGGCUCAGCUGGUCUUCCAGAGUCCCGUUCAUCUCAAUGGAGAUGCGCCCGAUCUCCUGCACGGAGGAAAGACCCCAGGAGUGACACUUGCUCAAGGCCCAUGAUCCCGCUCCACUCUUAGGUGUUGGGAGUCUGCUUUAUACAUCUAACCUUGCCAGCCACUCUUGAGCCCUCCAUGAGGCCCUGCACUGUGACAGAGAGGGGGACUUAGGGAGGGCAGGCCAAGUGACUUGGGAAAGUGCCUUCACCUUCUGAGUGCACACACCUUCACUCCAUGACAAAACACUACUUUGCUACUU